Pomacea canaliculata is the source of this 1058-nucleotide long non-coding RNA. RefSeq lists it as uncharacterized. NCBI's taxonomy places the organism in Eukaryota, Metazoa, Mollusca, Gastropoda, Architaenioglossa, Ampullariidae. The record is from RefSeq and is a predicted model, not a curated record. The transcript has 3 exons.
ACAAUUGUUUUAUCAUGGCAUAGACAUGUGAGCCACUUUCAGUUCCCCCUGACAGGUAUCGAGAUUUUAGAUGAACGGGUGACAUCGGGAUGUCUGACUCAUUAACUCUCUCGUUGGCAAGCUCACACACACGCACACGUAUACACGUCUGCACAGACACCAUAAACCCACCCUACACACACAGAUUUACCUUAUCAUUUCUUACAUGAGUUCUGACUUACUUAAGAGCAUAUUAAACUUUGCUGUUGGGUUACAAUGACCAUCCUGUGGCAGGUCACUAACAUAUAAUCGGACCCUCACGUUUCACGCGGCUUUUUCUGCUCUUCUCUUCCUCCCACCUAUCCUCUCUCUCUCACCCUCACCCAUAUCCACUUUCAGAACACACUUGCAAGCACGCCACAAAAAAACUUAUUUUGCAUCCUGCCAUGUGUGGAGAGGAAACGUCUCCUGGCGGAAUGUCCGCUAUUCAGAUGAGGUGGGCCGAGUUAAUUUUUGAAAUUAAGGGAACGCACACACGGGAAUAAUGAGAUGUGGGUUGUGCAUUUAUGAAUAUCUAUUGCGCUAGCUUCUCAGCAUACAUUAAAACGGUUGCCCGCCCCUUGUUUGGUGCAGCGCUCUUCGUGCGUACAUGAUAAAACGGAUUGCCUCCUCCUGGCUCGCCUGCAACCCUUUGAUCCCCGCCAGCAGCCCGUGAACUUUCCAACACAAACGGAUACGACCGCUGCUCUUUUUCUGCCAUGGUGUUCUGAUGUUAGACUGAGAGACAGAGAUAAGGACAAUUCUUUACUUAAGAGGCUUUACGAGAAGCACAACCUGAACUCUUGCCUUGAAGAAGGAAAAGUAUGCUAAGAUGCUACACAGCUACGACAACAAAAGAUCUGAUAUUAAAAGAGAACAGGCAGGCAGGUAGGCAGGCACACAAAUAUACAGACUGAAGGGUGGGAAUUCGAGACUCCUGUCAGCAAGAAUAAUCGACUUUUGAGCGAUGCCCUUGUGUCGGCGGAUAAAGGAGGAAAUGGAACGUGAAAGAGAAAAAUAUUUGCACAUAAAAUACACGU